GGCCUUUUGGGAGCUCACUGGCUUCGGGUUCCGUUGGAACUCUAAAGUUAAGCGAGUUCGCUCGAGAGCAAUCCCAGGAUGGGUGACCCACUGGGAAGUUCUCGUGUGAGUUCCUAGAAACAAAACCGUGAGGGCGUGGUUGGGGCCCAAAACGGACAAUAUCGUGCUACGGUAGAGUCGAGCCUGGGAUGUUGCGGGGGCCCGGGCCAGGAUGUGACAAUUUGGUAUCAGAGCCAAUCCCUGGCCGGAAGUGUGUCGACGAGGACGUCGGGCCCCUAAGGGGGGGUGGCUUGUAACAUCCCACAUCGCCCAGGGGAGUGGAUCAUGUAAGCCAUAUAUGUAUAUUCUCAUAUCUUCCUAGCACGAGGCCUUUUGGGAGCUCACUAGCUUCGGGUUUCGUCGGAACUCUGAAGUUAAGCGAGUUCGCUCGAGAGCAAUCCCAGGAUGGGUGACCCACUAGGAAGUUCUCAUGUGAGUUCC
This 480-nucleotide small RNA is filed under the name Malus domestica (apple). Lineage: Eukaryota; Viridiplantae; Streptophyta; Magnoliopsida; Rosales; Rosaceae. The record is from RNAcentral.